Long non-coding RNA from Scylla paramamosain (green mud crab), 1114 nucleotides. RefSeq lists it as uncharacterized. Lineage: Eukaryota; Metazoa; Arthropoda; Malacostraca; Decapoda; Portunidae. The record is from RefSeq and is a predicted model, not a curated record. The transcript has 3 exons.
UUCUCACUGUGCUGUAUGAAGCAGGAUUUUAAUGAUACAAACUAUGUCAUUUACAUGAUUUUACUUGCGUGAAGAUAUUACGUGAUUCUGGAGUGGCUAAUCACUAAUCUGCUAAGAAAAACAAGGAGAAAGAUGGUGCAAGGAACUUUCAGACAAUAAGUCAGAAGAUGCGGUGCAGAUACUCUUUUACUGAUUAUUAGAAGCCCCGUGGAUUAUUGCCAUGCACUUUCAUGAAAACGUAUGCCGGUGUUGAAAACGGGAAGGUGGAUGAGGGUUGCUUGCUGUCUGGCCACACCUGAGCCAGCUGUCACCGCCGCGAGAGAUCAUCCCAACUUCCCCACCUGUUGAGGUCCUCAGUCUCCUCACCUGCCACUAACCUCUCAUAUUUGAAUCAAAGUUCAUCCAUUCAUUUAUUCAGAGAAACACAUUUGGGCGGUAAUCUCACCUGCUGGGCCAGAAAGAGGAUCGGAGCCCCUACGGAACACCUGGCAGGUGAGUGCUGCCCUCUAUAGCUGUCGCCGCUGUGUUAGUGUCAGGUGUUUGUGACUUCGUUUUGACACCCCUUUUUUGUAUGGAGUGCAGACGCGGUACAGUAUUCUUAGUAUCGGUGGAGUGAAAGGAGGGAGUCACUCAUCUAAUGGAGAAAAGAGUGGCUUUGUGAGUGGAUUGAGUUCGUUUUGGAGUGUGAGUGAGGAGUGGUUAGUUCAGUGUCCAGCCCGCCAGUCAGGGGUCUCUCUACCUCUGAAGGGAAGGGCUCAGAGUGGGAAAUUUUACCCAGUGAUGAGUACAGGGUGUGAACUUAUGAGUUGCUCAUUGAGAAAAUUGACAUAGGAAAGUUGUGCAUGUUGCAGUAAUUGCUACAGAAAGUAUCAGAGAGCUCGACUCUGCCCCCGUAGUGAACCAAGGAGGCGCGUGUUGUCUUCACUGCUGCAAGGUACGAGUAAGAUGGAGUGCGCUCUUGUUGGUUGGCGUGUGGCGGGUGUGUGAGGUGUUGUUCAGCGUUUCGUUACUUUCAAUUGGUAAGUGUUUGUGUGUUUGUGUUUGUUUGUGUGUAUAAUUCUUUUUUUUUUAAGGAGUCUAUUAUGGGAAUGUGCUUUAUGUUAUUAUUUUAUUU